Molecule: ribosomal RNA, 541 nt
Filed under: uncultured bacterium
Lineage: Bacteria
Description: bacterial SSU rRNA
Rfam family: Bacterial small subunit ribosomal RNA
Source: RNAcentral
UAAUAGACUACCCCGGUAGUCCACGCCCUAAACGAUGCGAACUGGAUGUUGGGUACAUUACGGUACUCAGUGUCGAAGCUAACGCGUUAAGUUCGCCGCCUGGGGAGUACGGUCGCAAGACUGAAACUCAAAGGAAUUGACGGGGGCCCGCACAAGCGGUGGAGUAUGUGGUUUAAUUCGAUGCAACGCGAAGAACCUUACCUGGCCUUGACAUCUGUCGAAUCCUGCAGAGAUGCGGGAGUGCCGCAAGGAACGACAAGACAGGUGCUGCAUGGCUGUCGUCAGCUCGUGUCGUGAGAUGUUGGGUUAAGUCCCGCAACGAGCGCAACCCUUGUCCCUAGUUGCCAGCACGUAAUGGUGGGAACUCUAGGGAGACUGCCGGUGACAAACCGGAGGAAGGUGGGGAUGACGUCAAGUCCUCAUGGCCCUUACGGCCAGGGCUACACACGUACUACAAUGGUCGGUACAGAGGGUUGCGAAGCCGCGAGGUGGAGCCAAUCCCAGAAAACCGAUCCCAGUCCGGAUCGGAGUCUGCAACUCG